UACGUAGGGUCCGAGCGUUGUCCGGAAUUACUGGGCGUAAAGAGCUCGUAGGUGGUUUGUCGCGUUGUUCGUGAAAACUCACAGCUCAACUGUGGGCGUGCGGGCGAUACGGGCAGACUGGAGUACUGCAGGGGAGACUGGAAUUCCUGGUGUAGCGGUGGAAUGCGCAGAUAUCAGGAGGAACACCGGUGGCGAAGGCGGGUCUCUGGGCAGUAACUGUCGCUGAGGAGCGAAAGCGUGGGGAGCGAACAGG
This 253-nucleotide ribosomal RNA is filed under the name uncultured bacterium. RNAcentral describes it as "partial 16S ribosomal RNA". It matches the Rfam family "Bacterial small subunit ribosomal RNA", at positions 524 to 776 of the family's 1533-position model. The record is from RNAcentral.